This 1040-nucleotide ribosomal RNA is filed under the name Leuconostoc mesenteroides. Its description in RNAcentral is "bacterial SSU rRNA". It matches the Rfam family "Bacterial small subunit ribosomal RNA", at positions 46 to 1066 of the family's 1533-position model. Lineage: Bacteria; Bacillati; Bacillota; Bacilli; Lactobacillales; Lactobacillaceae. The record is from RNAcentral.
GCCUAAUACUGCAAGUCGAACGCACAGCGAAAGGUGCUUGCACCUUUCAAGUGAGUGGCGAACGGGUGAGUAACACGUGGACAACCUGCCUCAAGGCUGGGGAUAACAUUUGGAAACAGAUGCUAAUACCGAAUAAAACUUAGUGUCGCAUGACACAAAGUUAAAAGGCGCUUCGGCGUCACCUAGAGAUGGAUCCGCGGUGCAUUAGUUAGUUGGUGGGGUAAAGGCCUACCAAGACAAUGAUGCAUAGCCGAGUUGAGAGACUGAUCGGCCACAUUGGGACUGAGACACGGCCCAAACUCCUACGGGAGGCUGCAGUAGGGAAUCUUCCACAAUGGGCGAAAGCCUGAUGGAGCAACGCCGCGUGUGUGAUGAAGGCUUUCGGGUCGUAAAGCACUGUUGUAUGGGAAGAACAGCUAGAAUAGGAAAUGAUUUUAGUUUGACGGUACCAUACCAGAAAGGGACGGCUAAAUACGUGCCAGCAGCCGCGGUAAUACGUAUGUCCCGAGCGUUAUCCGGAUUUAUUGGGCGUAAAGCGAGCGCAGACGGUUUAUUAAGUCUGAUGUGAAAGCCCGGAGCUCAACUCCGGAAUGGCAUUGGAAACUGGUUAACUUGAGUGCAGUAGAGGUAAGUGGAACUCCAUGUGUAGCGGUGGAAUGCGUAGAUAUAUGGAAGAACACCAGUGGCGAAGGCGGCUUACUGGACUGCAACUGACGUUGAGGCUCGAAAGUGUGGGUAGCAAACAGGAUUAGAUACCCUGGUAGUCCACACCGUAAACGAUGAACACUAGGUGUUAGGAGGUUUCCGCCUCUUAGUGCCGAAGCUAACGCAUUAAGUGUUCCGCCUGGGGAGUACGACCGCAAGGUUGAAACUCAAAGGAAUUGACGGGGACCCGCACAAGCGGUGGAGCAUGUGGUUUAAUUCGAAGCAACGCGAAGAACCUUACCAGGUCUUGACAUCCUUUGAAGCUUUUAGAGAUAGAAGUGUUCUCUUCGGAGACAAAGUGACAGGUGGGUGCAUGGUCGUCGUCAGCUCGUGUC